Non-coding RNA from Oryza sativa Japonica Group (Japanese rice), 1927 nucleotides. NCBI's taxonomy places the organism in Eukaryota, Viridiplantae, Streptophyta, Magnoliopsida, Poales, Poaceae. The record is from RefSeq and is a predicted model, not a curated record.
GAGUUCAAAGUGACCGACUGAGAGGAGGAGGGUUCAGGAAGGAAGGAGAGGGAGAAGAAGAGGCAGCGUGCGCACUCGGCUUCGUCAGAGAUGGGGAUCUUCUGGAGCAAGGCGGAGCCGCCGCCGCCGAUGGUGCUCGUCCCGCCGCUCUUCGACUACCCACCCAUCGCCGCCCGCACCAGGAUGUCGGUGCCAGCGUAUGAGCUAAUGUUUGGGAAGCUCUCGCUGCAGAAUCUGUUUGAGGACUACUUUGAUCAUGCGGGGAAUAUGACCUCAAGGGUCAUGCUGAAGCCACUGGAGGAUCCUCAUGUUGAUUUGAUUGCCACUGUGUCUGCAGCUGCUGAUAAAAUAGACGGAACACAAGUAAAGGGAGAUGCUCUAUUUCGCUGGCAGAAAGAUUUAGAUGAUCCCCAUACCUUUGUGGACCUUCUUGUGUCAACUUCAAACCCAAUGUUGCAGGUUAGGUCAUGUGCUUACCAUCCUAAGUACCGUGUUGGUGCGUUUGGGACAUUCCCUUUACUAAUGGGAAACAGGGUGCGUUCUGAGGAUUAUGGUGUCAUGGGAGUAAGAUACGGUUCAGAGAAUCUAUCAUUUGGGUCUUCCUUUGUGCCAUUUCCUGGAUCUGCUGAACUACCCUCUGGAGCAUGGUUGGUCGGGAGAAAAGGGAGCUUAAGUGCAGGAGUGCAAUACAAGCCACUUAGUGGAAACAAACAUCUUAUGCCAUAUACAGAUUGGAAGAACUGGAAUUGUGCAAUCAGUUAUGGUGUAGGAUUAACAAGCCCACUCAGUCCUUCCUUCAUUUUUUCUCUAGAGCUUGCCAGAAGUACAGAGUUCAUUGCAUCGUUCUAUCAACACAUGGUUGUUCAAAGAAGGGUUAAAAACCCUUUUGAAGAUGAUCAGAUUGUUGGAAUCACAAACUACAUUGAUUUUGGGCUUGAAUUGGCUACAAGGAUUGAUAAAGAUAAACCAUCAGAGAGUGCCAACAAUUCCUUGUUUCAGUUUGCAGCAAGUUGGCAAGCUAAUAAGAACUUCCUAUUCAAGGGAAAGCUAGGUCCUUCCAAGUCUUCUGUAGCUUUGGCAUUCAAGUCAUGGUGGAGACCAUCCUUCACAUUUAGUGUCACAGCUGUGAACGAUCAUUUGAAGGGGACAAGAUCAUAUGGAUUUGGAAUUCGUGUUGAGGAUCUUAGACAGCCAAGUUACCAAAGGGCUGAUCCAAACUAUGUAAUGCUAACACCAAGCAAGGAGCACUUGGCACCAGGUGUUUUGCGAGAGUACGGGAAGCGGCCCAUGUUCCAGGCAGAGGUUGAUUCGGGCAACUAUGAUCAUUUACCUACAGAGUUGAAGCCUAUCAGCAAGAUAUUCUAGCAGUGGCCGUUUUUGGUCAAUCCUUUGCUCAAAAGAACUUCACCCGGUACAUCUGAAAGGCAUCAUCAAACGUAGGUCUGUUUCAACUUUGCAAGACAGUUGGUCCAUUAUGAUGUACAAGUUUUGUCGUGAAGAAUGUCUAGGUUGAAACUUAGUGAUAUCUCACCUUGGAAGUGUAGCCAUCAACUCCGUAGAUUAUAGAAGAAUGUGGGCAAUCAAGUUGAAGUUAUUAUUGAGCGUGUUGAAUUAAUUAAUAGACCAUAUGGUUCGGUCUACUCUUCUGCACUUCACAAACACGGACCAGAACUAUCCAAGUCUAUUUGAGUUGGGAAAAAAAAUCUUAUGCAGCAGUCAGUAGGGGGCAAAAGAGAAGUCCUUUGUGAGUUGGUGACCAUAGAUCCAUAGCAUGGCACCUAGGAAGCCUAUAGUACCUCCAUCCGGAACAAGGUAAUUUAAAUAAAAUAGAUUUAUCAAUGCACAAACAGUUUAAUUGCUGAGCGUGUACAAAAUCACAAACCAAUCACGUGUCACAUCUUUGAAAGUAGCAUGAUCUUUUAUCUUC